UGCGCGGCUUACACAUGCAGUCGAGCGCCCCGCAGGGGAGCGGCAGACGGGUGAGUAACGCGUGGGAAUCUACCUUUUGCUACGGAACAACAGUUGGAAACGACUGCUAAUACCGUAUGUGCCCUUCGGGGGAAAGAUUUAUCGGCAAAGGAUGAGCCCGCGUUGGAUUAGCUAGUUGGUGAGGUAAAGGCUCACCAAGGCGACGAUCCAUAGCUGGUCUGAGAGGAUGAUCAGCCACACUGGGACUGAGACACGGCCCAGACUCCUACGGGAGGCAGCAGUGGGGAAUAUUGGACAAUGGGCGCAAGCCUGAUCCAGCCAUGCCGCGUGAGUGAUGAAGGCCCUAGGGUUGUAAAGCUCUUUCACCGGUGAAGAUAAUGACGGUAACCGGAGAAGAAGCCCCGGCUAACUUCGUGCCAGCAGCCGCGGUAAUACGAAGGGGGCUAGCGUUGUUCGGAUUUACUGGGCGUAAAGCGCACGUAGGCGGAUUUUUAAGUCAGGGGUGAAAUCCCGGGGCUCAACCCCGGAACUGCCUUUGAUACUGGAAGUCUUGAGUAUGGUAGAGGUGAGUGGAAUUCCGAGUGUAGAGGUGAAAUUCGUAGAUAUUCGGAGGAACACCAGUGGCGAAGGCGGCUCACUGGACCAUUACUGACGCUGAGGUGCGAAAGCGUGGGGAGC
RNAcentral lists this ribosomal RNA (678 nucleotides) under Ochrobactrum sp. MYb19. Its description in RNAcentral is "bacterial SSU rRNA". It matches the Rfam family "Bacterial small subunit ribosomal RNA", at positions 41 to 769 of the family's 1533-position model. Lineage: Bacteria; Pseudomonadati; Pseudomonadota; Alphaproteobacteria; Hyphomicrobiales; Brucellaceae. The record is from RNAcentral.